Benincasa hispida (wax gourd) is the source of this 1914-nucleotide long non-coding RNA. RefSeq lists it as uncharacterized. Lineage: Eukaryota; Viridiplantae; Streptophyta; Magnoliopsida; Cucurbitales; Cucurbitaceae. The record is from RefSeq and is a predicted model, not a curated record.
UUAAGUUGCUUUUUCAUUUAUGGGUUGAAAGAAAAAAAGAGAGAGAGAAAAAAAAGAAGUGUUAUUAUUUUCUCUUUCUUUCUCUCUCUCUUUUCACGCACACGCCAGAGCUUCUUUCCCCCCUUUCGUUUUUCCUUCUUUCUGGUAUGCGAGCCCUAGCUGUUUGAAGCCACCGCCACCAAGACUUCCAGCCGCCGUCGCGUCCCAGACCGCCACAGACCCUCGUGUCGAGCAUCGAUUAGCUUCGCCGCACGCCCUCGUCCGUGCCAAGCCCCAGCCAUCCGUUCCUGUCGCCGCACCGUCGCUCACCACACCCAGCGUCGAUCUCCGUCCUAUCCGUCAACCUCCAUCAGUGGUAAGUCGCAUGACCCCGCCAGUCGCCGAUCGGUGUUGUCACCACUGCCCUAAUUCUUGCCAGAAUCUUGAAAAAUUUGGAUUUAGGAGUCUUAGGGUCGUCGUUCAUCAAAGUAGAGACCACUCUUUUUGGCGGAAAAAGAAAGUUGAGGUUUGGGCUGAUUCAAGUUGAUCCAAGAGGUUUUUAAGAAGAUUAAUUGCGUGAACUUUUUGGUUACCAAUUUGAAGGAAUGGUACGUUUUAGGGGAAGAGGCAGAGGCAGUCACAAGAUUACCAGAAAGGGGUGCGAUCUCGAAGGGCAGAAUCCAACGGUUCAGGAUCAAGAUCCACAUGAUGAGGAUCCACAAAUUCAAAAUUCACAAGUAUAGGACCCGCUAGGAUCCCUUGCCGCCUAGAGACCCCUCAGGGUCAGGGUAGCAGCGAACCCAUACAUGACGUCGAGCCCAACACACGGCUGUGCCCUCGCAAACACAACACCCCCAGUUGUCCCAACAGAGUUCACUGAUUGGGCAACCAUUAUAGGGGAAGCAAUCACAUCAACUGUAUUGAGUAAGGUAAAGGACAUGUUGGAUGAGCGAAUGACCCAAUUUUCCCAACAGUUACCACUGUCGCAAGUUUAGAUACCGCAAGUUUAGACUUAGAACAUAACUCUAAAUGAGAGCAUGUCGGACCUUUUAGUGGAGGCCAAACACUUGUGAGAUUUCAGGAAGUACAACCCCAACAUCUUCAACGGGUCACUAAAGGAUCCUACCAAUGCAGAGUUAUGGAUAUUAACGAUUGAAAUAAUUUUCCGUUAUAUGAAAUGCUCAGAAGAUCAGAAAGUGCAGUGUGCCGUCUUCAUGCUCAUUGACAAAGCACAUAUUUGGUGGCAGUCGGCAGAAAGGAUGUUAGGUGCAAGGGGGGAAACAUGGGAGCAGUUCAAAGAGCGCUUCGACGUGAAGUACUUCUCUGCCAACUUGAGGUACAAUAAGCAAAAGGAGUUCUUGGAGCUGAGGCAUGAGCACAUGUCGGUGGAGGAGUAUGACCAGGGGUUUGACACCCUGUAUUGUUUUGCCCUAAAAUUGGUUGCUAUGGAGGCUAUGAGAGCGGAGAGGUUCGUUCAAGGUCUAAAGGACAGUAUACGAGGUAUCAUGCGAGCCUUCAAACCGACCACUCACACUGAAGCACUUCGUGAUGGAAUACACAAGCAUGCAAUGAAAGAAAAUAGAAUCAAUAAGCACUCUAAUUAUAUUUAAUUUGAGUUCUAAAGCAUGCUAUUUCAUCAACUCAAAAGAAAGUUUCAAGAAAAGCAUACCUUUGACGAUUUCUCACGAUUCCAAGCUGCUCUUCACUCCAAAUCAGCUCCAAAUCGACAGUGAACCACCAAAAGAUCUUCUCUACUAUUCUAAGCCUUGAAUUUGAGUGGUGGAACUCGAAUUUGAGUGAAUAUGGUGAAGGAUAUUGAGGGUUUUUGUGAGGAAGAAGAUGAAGAAGUAGAAACUCUUUUCAGCUCCAGAACCACUUACUUUGUUCUUCAAAAUUGAGAGUUUUAUAAUUCUUCAGCAUGCAAGCAUUUCUUAA